CAUACCCCCUACCCUAUUAGUAAUCAGUGGGGGAAGAUAUAAAAUGACAACCAGGAUGGUAUGUGUCACGAGUCCCGCCCCUUCCGACUGGUCACUUCCCGCUUUCAGUCACUCGCCGGCAGGUAUGUGGAUGACAGCUCGCCUGUGUACGGGUUGCUUCAUUGGGAAAGCUCAUGUUUUGUAUGUUUGUCUAGUGUUGCGUCUUAUCUGGAUCACGGUGUUGGUCUGCAUCUACGGCUGCUCUUCUGCAGUCAGCAGUUCGUUUCACUGCGUUACAAAACUACGUUUAACCCAACGAAUAUGUUUAGGACUUAUUAAUGAUUGAUUGAGCCCGUUUUCCUCUGUGUUGGCGUUCUAAUGCUCUUGAUUAGACGAAAUUGAGUGGUGCGACCGAAAAUGAUUGCUGGGUGCCGUAUGACAACCUCUAGCUACGUGGGAGGUUUCUAAACGACGCUGCUGCUUAACCACGGCUUAACUGCUGCUUAACCGCGGCUUAACUGCUGCUUUGCUGUUUAACUGCUGCUUUGAUGCUGUUUAAGAAUUUUUGGGGGAUGAUGCUGUUUUAAUGUAGUAAACAUCAGUUUCCCUACACAUUCAGUGCUAGGACCGUAUAUUUGAAGGUUGUGGUUGACCGAUUUGAAUGGUCCUUGUGUUCUUUUUUCUUUUAUUUGGGUAAUUUCGCCUAGUUUUGUUAGAUAUAUAUAUUUUUUUACUUUUGUGUUGGUUUCCUUGAAAUUAGUAUUUUCUAAUGUGAUUUCUUUCUGUUACAUUGUUUUUUUGUAUGCUUUAUUGAAAUUGUAUUUGUUUUUUUGUAACAGUCUUUUUGUAUGUAUAUUCAAGACUGUUUAACCCUUGUGCCUUCCUCUUAUAUUUUGUAGUUUUGGGUUGCUUCUUCAGCAGAGGGUUCAUUAAGAGGGGUUGUAAUCCAUUAGCAUUGCAGUGUGUUGUGCGCCCAAGUGAUUGUGUGUUAGAGUGUCAGUGACCAGUUUAUUAAAACUUUGUAGUAACUGGAUUUUGUGUUUUCAGUAGCAGAGCACCUAAGGCAGGGUGGAUUUCUGGUGGAGGUCUUUCUUGCACGUGUGCUGUGUGUAUGCGCUGUGUGUGUGUGUGUGCGUGUGU
Non-coding RNA from Danio rerio (zebrafish), 1119 nucleotides. Lineage: Eukaryota; Metazoa; Chordata; Actinopteri; Cypriniformes; Danionidae. The record is from RefSeq and is a predicted model, not a curated record.